UACGGGGGGGGCAAGCGUUGUUCGGAAUUACUGGGCGUAAAGCGCGCGCAGGCGGCCCGCGAGGUGUCACGUGAAAGCCCCGGGCUCAACUCGGGAGGGUCGUGGCAAACCGGCGGGCUUGAGGUCGGUAGAGGUGGGUGGAACUCCUGGUGGAGUGGUGAAAUGCGUAGAGAUCAGGAAGAACACCCGUGGCGAAGGCGGCCCACUGGGCCGGUGCUGACGCUGAGGCGCGAAGGCGUGGGGAGCGAACAGG
This 253-nucleotide ribosomal RNA is filed under the name uncultured bacterium. RNAcentral's name for it is "partial 16S ribosomal RNA". It matches the Rfam family "Bacterial small subunit ribosomal RNA", at positions 524 to 776 of the family's 1533-position model. The record is from RNAcentral.